Homo sapiens (human) is the source of this 525-nucleotide long non-coding RNA. NCBI's taxonomy places the organism in Eukaryota, Metazoa, Chordata, Mammalia, Primates, Hominidae. The record is from Ensembl.
AGCGAGAUUUACAAUAAAGUAGAUGUUGGAGCUAUGCUGACUGGGUUCAAAUCCUCAUACCAUCACUGCCUAGUUGUAUAAGCUUGAACAAAUUACUUGUUAUUGCUGUGCUUCAAUUUCCUCAGCUGUAAAAUAUGGUUUUAAAAUGAAAAGCCUUUGAGAUCUUUUAGAAUUAAGUGAAAAUUUAAGCAGAACAGAAGGAACACCAGAUGGGAGUCUCUCAAGAAGUGUCCUCAGGGAUAUCACAUGAAAGUGAGGUGAUCUUAGAUAUUAUCUUAUCUGAAAUAAAUUACCCAUUGUAAAUGAAUACAAGGAUGGCACAUCAUCUUUUCUCAUACAUAUAUUCAGAGAGCUGGCAGCUAUGUUGCAGGAAGAUGAAAGGAACCUCAAGUGUGUCAGCUGUGAAGCAUGUACUGUAUUCUUCUGGUGGAAAUUAGCAUGGCCACUAUAUCACAAAUGGAUAUUAUCGCAAAAGUUAAUUGUAUUACUAGUUCUGUUUAAAGAUAAAGAAUCAGACAUGUGCAA